This 605-nucleotide long non-coding RNA is filed under the name Homo sapiens (human). Its description in RNAcentral is "non-protein coding lnc-QDPR-2:1". The record is from RNAcentral. Lineage: Eukaryota; Metazoa; Chordata; Mammalia; Primates; Hominidae.
UAAUAUGCUUAUGAUUUAUAUAUGAUAGCUAAAACAAAUUUUGGCGUUAACACUUCAUACUGUUCUGCCAGGCACAGCAGCUCACGCCUGUAAUCCCAUCACUUUGGGAGGCUGAGGCAGAUGGACUGCUUGAGCCAGGAAUUUGAGACCAGCCUGGGCAACACAGCGAGACCUCCAUCUCUACAAAAAAAUAAUUAGCCCAAAGAAAACCCAGCUACUUGGAAGUCUGAGGUAGGACAGCAUGAGCCCAAGAGUUCGAGACCAGCCUGGGCAAGAUAGUGAGAUCCCAUCUCUACAGAUUAAAAAAAUAUAUAUAUAUAUCCCCUGAACCUCUGGUCUUUGGGUUUGAGCCAUUUGCCUCAUGGUGUGUUGCUUCUUCACUGCAUGAAUUCCCAGUGGGUUAAAGGAACCGCAAUGGCUGUUCACGGUGCUGACCUUGCUCUCAGUCCACACUGAUUUGUCUUACCUUCUGACAGAGCAAUGUGAUUUGACAAGACUCAAUAACAACUUUUAGGGGGCAAAAUAUUUUUUCAGUCUUUGGUGCUGGCCCAGAAGGUGGCCCACAAACCAAUGUUAAUUCUAUGCAUUGUCAAAUCUUUGCUCUU